RNAcentral lists this ribosomal RNA (374 nucleotides) under uncultured prokaryote. Its description in RNAcentral is "bacterial SSU rRNA". It matches the Rfam family "Bacterial small subunit ribosomal RNA", at positions 524 to 896 of the family's 1533-position model. The record is from RNAcentral.
UACAGAGGGUGCAAGCGUUGUUCGGAAUUACUGGGCGUAAAGCGCGUGUAGGCGGUUUGGUAAGUCAGACGUGAAAUCCCUCGGCUCAACUGAGGAACUGCGUCUGAUACUGCUAGACUAGAGUGUCGGAGGGGAUGGUGGAAUUCCCGGUGUAGAGGUGAAAUUCGUAGAGAUCGGGAGGAACACCUGUGGCGAAGGCGACCAUCUGGAAGACAACUGACGCUGAGACGCGAAAGCGUGGGUAGCAAACAGGAUUAGAUACCCUGGUAGUCCACGCCGUAAACGAUGAGUGCUAGGUGUUGUGGGUAUUGACCCCUGCAGUGCCAAAGCUAACGCGUUAAGCACUCCGCCUGGGGAGUACGGUCGCAAGAUUA